Molecule: long non-coding RNA, 1509 nt
Filed under: Lepisosteus oculatus (spotted gar)
Lineage: Eukaryota; Metazoa; Chordata; Actinopteri; Semionotiformes; Lepisosteidae
Description: lncRNA (ENSLOCG00000021115.1)
Source: RNAcentral
GCAGGAGAGUUACUGGGGUCUGGUUGUAGCGGCAGGAGAGUUACUGGGGUCUGAUUGUAGCAGCAGGAGAGUUACUGGGGUCUGGUUGUAGCGGCAGGAGAGUUACUGGGGUCUGGUUGUAGCAGUUCUGCGCGUCACUUCAACAGUCUCGGUAACACGGCACCUGUGGUGUUGCUGCGCUACAGGCAGGAGGUGGGGCUGCAUUUCUGAAAUAUUGCCGGACACAAACAGACAGUCCCAUUUACCGGCUGCCGCAAGGCGACGGGAGAAGUUGUUUUUCUCGUCCUUGUCCAGAAGAGAAAAACAGGAGCGCACUGUGAGUCUUCAAGAUCACCGCGAGUGAAGGACAGACCGCACAGCCUCGCAGAUGCGGCUCGGAUUGGUAAAAACCGGACAAACACGCCGAUACCUGGGCUUUACCUACGUGACACAAGCUCAGCACGACGUUCGGGAAACAGUUUUUAAUCUUUCGGCUUCCCCACCCACACGGAACUGUGACGGCCCGAUCCCCUGCGAGUCAAAACACGUGCCACUUCCUGAGCGGCGUGACUCCUGAAGGGCUCGCCUCGCGCUCGUUCCCCGUCGCCCGUGGACGUGGCCCCGCGGGGCUCGAGGCUGAGCCGGAGGGAUGGAGCUCGCGCUGGGACUCGCCGCGCUCGCGCUGAUCCUCGUGGCGCCGGCCGUGGGACGGGAGCUGAGGAGGAACAAUCUCGCCAUCACACUCGUCCGAGAGCUGGCUGACCCUCACCGGACCGGGCCGGAGCCGGAGGCCAGGCCCAGCCUGACCCUCUCGACACUGACGCUGUGCCCGCCCGGACGGGCCCACUGCAGCACCUGUGUCAGGGCCCAGGUGGCGCUGCCCUGCAGGGUUCUGCCCAGAAACAUUGUGCUGGACUUCCUGGAGCUGAGCAGCAACCGCCACUGGGAGGUCAGGGUGCGCGGGAGACGCCGUGCCACUACAGAAACCUGGAAAUGGCAGGAGCAGAGAAGGGCUUGGAAGAUACUGGAGCCCCCAGACCCACAGCUGAAUUCGUCACACACACCCAGAACUUGGCAGCUGUCCUAUGAGUGUUUUGAGGCAGAGGGGGGGCGUGAUGUCCUGGUGUCUGUGUCUAGCAGUGAGCUCCAGGAGCCGGUGAGCGUGGCCUACACGGUGGAGGACAGCGAGAGAGGUACGGCCCAACACACUGUCACUGCAGGGAGCAGCCUGAGAACGUUACAGGAGUGCAGGAGUUCACCAUGUGAUGUUCUAUUCAUUAUAGCAGAUUGCAGUGUCCAAUAUUUUAUUUGAGUUUACUCUGUUGUGGCGUAUGACAGUACAACAGUUUAUUCUACACUACAGCAGUAUGUUGCAGUACAUUGUUGGAUGUAAUUGAAUAUUACAACGUCAGGUAAUUAGAUUCAGUUCCUGUAAAGAAGUAGCAGUGUUCAGUCUGGGACACUAACAGCCCACACCUUGUUUUUGUACCUGUUGGGAAAUCGUGAACUCCCACUGCUAUAAAGUGCUGG